AAAAGGCUUUAAAAUUUUUUAUUGCAAUUUAAAACCUAGGGUUUUCACCCAUUUGAGCUUUGGAUCUUCAAACCAAUAGGGAUUAUUUAUAAAAGGGGUUUAUUGCAUAAUUAGGCAAUCCCAUAAUUAUUGGAUAAUUAUUUGGAGUUGAAAAACUAUUUUAUUUAAAUAGUUAUAUAGCCCUAAAGGCAUUUAUAGGGCAAAGGUAUUUUUAUAUAUUUUAUUUUGAGGGAAAUUACUCCCAAAAGUUGAAUCAUGAUAAAACAUGAUUUUACAAAUUUUCUGGAAUUUAUUUGGAUCAAUUUGGAGUUCAAAAUCAAAAGAUAUCAAAGAAAUCAGAAAUAGAAAAAAAAGGCUAAAAGAAAAAAAAGGGAGGAAACCGGACCGCCCCGGCCAGAUGGGCCGAACCGGCCCAGCUUCGCCCGCGCCCGAACCGGAUUGAGCCGGCCCCGCCGCACGCGCGCGCGCCGUGAGCUGCUGACAGGUGGGGCCCACCUGUCAGGCUUCGUCUUCCCCAA
This 518-nucleotide long non-coding RNA is filed under the name Brachypodium distachyon (stiff brome). RNAcentral describes it as "long non-coding RNA (BDIS_LNC001136)". The record is from RNAcentral. Lineage: Eukaryota; Viridiplantae; Streptophyta; Magnoliopsida; Poales; Poaceae.